AACGAACGCUGGCGGCGCGUCUUAAACAUGCAAGUCGAACGAUCUGUAGCAAUACAGGGAGUGGCGGACGGGUGAGGAACACGUAGGAAUCUACCUUGAAGAGCGGGACAACUUUGGGAAACCGGGGCCAAUACCGCAUAGUACAGAGAUGUUAAAGGGCUAGCAAUAGUCGCUUCGAGAUGAGCCUGCGGUCUAUCAGCUUGUUGGUGAGGUAAUGGCUCACCAAGGCUACGACGGAUAGCCGGUCUGAGAGGAUGAUCGGCCACACUGGCACUGAGACACGGGCCAGACUCCUACGGGAGGCAGCAGUUAAGAAUCUUGCGCAAUGGGGGAAACCCUGACGCAGCGACGCCGCGUGAAGGAUGAAGGCUUUCGGGUUGUAAACUUCGGUAGACUGGGAAGAAGAAAUACGUUCGUUGAGGGCGUAUAGUGACGGUACCAGUCUGAAGCCCCGGCUAAUUACGUGCCAGCAGCCGCGGUAAU
This 483-nucleotide ribosomal RNA is filed under the name uncultured bacterium. RNAcentral describes it as "bacterial SSU rRNA". It matches the Rfam family "Bacterial small subunit ribosomal RNA", at positions 29 to 524 of the family's 1533-position model. The record is from RNAcentral.